This 508-nucleotide ribosomal RNA is filed under the name uncultured bacterium. RNAcentral's name for it is "partial 16S ribosomal RNA". It matches the Rfam family "Bacterial small subunit ribosomal RNA", at positions 30 to 523 of the family's 1533-position model. The record is from RNAcentral.
AUUGAACGCUGGCGGCAGGCCUAACACAUGCAAGUCGAGCGGCAGCGGGAAAGUAGCUUGCUACUUUUGCCGGCGAGCGGCGGACGGGUGAGUAAUGCCUGGGGAUCUGCCCAGUCGAGGGGGAUAACUACUGGAAACGGUAGCUAAUACCGCAUACGCCCUACGGGGGAAAGCAGGGGACCUUUGGGCCUUGCGCGAUUGGAUGAACCCAGGUGUGAUUAGCGAGUUGGUGAGGUAAUGGCUCACCAAGGCGACGAUCCCUAGCUGGUCUGAGAGGAUGAUCAGCCACACUGGAACUGAGACACGGUCCAGACUCCUACGGGAGGCAGCAGUGGGGAAUAUUGCACAAUGGGGGAAACCCUGAUGCAGCCAUGCCGCGUGUGUGAAGAAGGCCUUCGGGUUGUAAAGCACUUUCAGCGAGGAGGAAAGGUCAGUAGCUAAUAUCUGCUGGCUGUGACGUUACUCGCAGAAGAAGCACCGGCUAACUCCGUGCCAGCCGCCGCUGUAA